GCGAGAGUGGCGGAAUUGGCAGACGCGCUGGAUUUAGGAUCCAGUGGGCGAACACCCUUGGGGGUUCAACUCCCCCCUCUCGCACCA
RNAcentral lists this transfer RNA (87 nucleotides) under Candidatus Rokuibacteriota bacterium. RNAcentral's name for it is "Candidatus Rokubacteria bacterium tRNA-Leu". It matches the Rfam family "tRNA". Rfam says of the family: Transfer RNA (tRNA) molecules are approximately 80 nucleotides in length. Their secondary structure includes four short double-helical elements and three loops (D, anti-codon, and T loops). Lineage: Bacteria; Candidatus Rokuibacteriota. The record is from RNAcentral.